CAGGUCUGUGAUGCCCUUAGAUGUCCGGGGCUGCACGCGCGCUACACUGACUGGCUCAGCGUGUGCCUACCCUACGCCGGCAGGCGCGGGUAACCCGUUGAACCCCAUUCGUGAUGGGGAUCGGGGAUUGCAAUUAUUCCCCAUGAACGAGGAAUUCCCAGUAAGUGCGGGUCAUAAGCUUGCGUUGAUUAAGUCCCUGCCCUUUGUACAC
This 211-nucleotide ribosomal RNA is filed under the name Burkholderia multivorans. Its description in RNAcentral is "partial 16S ribosomal RNA". It matches the Rfam family "Eukaryotic small subunit ribosomal RNA", at positions 1457 to 1667 of the family's 1831-position model. The record is from RNAcentral. Lineage: Bacteria; Pseudomonadati; Pseudomonadota; Betaproteobacteria; Burkholderiales; Burkholderiaceae.